This 429-nucleotide ribosomal RNA is filed under the name Bacteroidota bacterium. RNAcentral describes it as "Bacteroidetes bacterium partial 16S ribosomal RNA". It matches the Rfam family "Bacterial small subunit ribosomal RNA", at positions 355 to 776 of the family's 1533-position model. Lineage: Bacteria; Pseudomonadati; Bacteroidota. The record is from RNAcentral.
UAGGGAAUCUUCCGCAAUGGACGCAAGUCUGACGGAGCAACGCCGCGUGAGUGAAGAAGGAUUUCGGUUCGUAAAACUCUGUUGUUAGAGAAGAACAGUGCAUAGAGUAACUGUUAUGCGUGUGACGGUAUCUAACCAGAAAGCCACGGCUAACUACGUGCCAGCAGCCGCGGUAAUACGUAGGUGGCAAGCGUUGUCCGGAUUUAUUGGGCGUAAAGCGAGCGCAGGCGGUCAAUUAAGUCUGAUGUGAAAGCCCCCGGCUCAACCGGGGAGGGUCAUUGGAAACUGGUUGACUUGAGUGCAGAAGAGGAGAGUGGAAUUCCAUGUGUAGCGGUGAAAUGCGUAGAUAUAUGGAGGAACACCAGUGGCGAAGGCGACUCUCUGGUCUGUAACUGACGCUGAGGCUCGAAAGCGUGGGUAGCAAACAGG